RNAcentral lists this ribosomal RNA (393 nucleotides) under Philantomba maxwellii (Maxwell's duiker). Its description in RNAcentral is "partial 12S ribosomal RNA". It matches the Rfam family "Bacterial small subunit ribosomal RNA", at positions 796 to 1384 of the family's 1533-position model. Lineage: Eukaryota; Metazoa; Chordata; Mammalia; Artiodactyla; Bovidae. The record is from RNAcentral.
UCAGCCCUAAACACAAAUAAUUUCAAAAACAAAAUUAUUCGCCAGAGUACUACCGGCAACAGCCUAAAACUCAAAGGACUUGGCGGUGCUUUAUACCCUUCUAGAGGAGCCUGUUCUAUAAUCGAUAAACCCCGAUAGACCUCACCAAUUCUUGCUAAUGCAGUCUAUAUACCGCCAUCUUCAGCAAACCCUAAAAAGGAACAAAAGUAAGCGCAAUCACAACACAUAAAAACGUUAGGUCAAGGUGUAACCUAUGAAAUGGGAAGAAAUGGGCUACAUUUUCUAUUUCAAGAAAACCCACAUACGAAAGUUAUUAUGAAACUAAUAACCAAAGGAGGAUUUAGUAGUAAACUAAGAAUAGAGUGCUUAGUUGAAUUAGGCCAUGAAGCACGC